UUGCGCAUGGCCGAANGCUGNCGCAGCGACGCCGCGUGUGGGAGGAAGCUCUUCGGGGUGUAAACCACUGUUGCCCGGGACGAACGAUGAGUUUUUACUCAUGUGACGGUACCGGGUGAGGAAGCACCGGCUAACUCUGUGCCAGCAGCCGCGGUAAUACAGAGGGUGCGAGCGUUGUCCGGAAUCACUGGGCGUAAAGGGCGCGUAGGCGGCUUGGUAAGGUUGCGGUGAAAGCCCGGGGCUCAACCCCGGGUCGGCCGUGGCAACUGCUGAGCUGGAGCACUGUAGAGGCAGGUGGAAUUCCGGGUGUAGCGGUGGAAUGCGUAGAGAUCCGGAAGAACACCGGUGGCGAAGGCGGCCUGCUGGGCAGUAGCUGACGCUGAGGCGCGACAGCGUGGGGAGCAAACAGGAUUAGAUACCCUGGUAGUCCACGCCGUAAACGAUGGGCACUAGAUGCUUGGGGGAGCGACCCUCCGAGUGUCGGCGCUAACGCAUUAAGUGCCCCGCCUGGGGAGUACGGCCGCAAGGCUGAAACUCAAAGAAAUUGACGGA
RNAcentral lists this ribosomal RNA (552 nucleotides) under uncultured bacterium. RNAcentral's name for it is "bacterial SSU rRNA". It matches the Rfam family "Bacterial small subunit ribosomal RNA", at positions 364 to 917 of the family's 1533-position model. The record is from RNAcentral.